GUGUUGUUGGGUAGGGGAGCGUUCUGUAAGCCUGUGAAGGUGGCCUGUGAGGGUUGCUGGAGGUAUCAGAAGUGCGAAUGCUGACAUAAGUAACGAUAAAGCGGGUGAAAAGCCCGCUCGCCGGAAGACCAAGGGUUCCUGUCCAACGUUAAUCGGGGCAGGGUGAGUCGACCCCUAAGGCGAGGCCGAAAGGCGUAGUCGAUGGGAAACGGGUUAAUAUUCCCGUACUUGGUGUUACUGCGAAGGGGGGACGGAGAAGGCUAUGUUGGCCGGGCGACGGUUGUCCCGGUUUAAGCGUAUAGGUGUGUGUUCCAGGUAAAUCCGGUUCACUUUAACACUGAGGCGUGAUGACGAGGCGCUACGGUGCUGAAGCAACAAAUGCCCUGCUUCCAGGAAAAGCCUCUAAGCAUCAGGUAACAUCAAAUCGUACCCCAAACCGACACAGGUGGUCAGGUAGAGAAUACCAAGGCGCUUGAGAGAACUCGGGUGAAGGAACUAGGCAAAAUGGUGCCGUAACUUCGGGAGAAGGCACGCUGACAUGUAGGUGAAGUGAUUUACUCACGGAGCUGAAGUCAGUCGAAGAUACCAGCUGGCUGCAACUGUUUAUUAAAAACACAGCACUGUGCAAACACGAAAGUGGACGUAUACGGUGUGACGCCUGCCCGGUGCCGGAAGGUUAAUUGAUGGGGUCAGCGCAAGCGAAGCUCCUGAUCGAAGCCCCGGUAAACGGCGGCCGUAACUAUAACGGUCCUAAGGUAGCGAAAUUCCUUGUCGGGUAAGUUCCGACCUGCACGAAUGGCGUAAUGAUGGCCAGGCUGUCUCCACCCGAGACUCAGUGAAAUUGAACUCGCUGUGAAGAUGCAGUGUACCCGCGGCAAGACGGAAAGACCCCGUGAACCUUUACUAUAGCUUGACACUGAACAUUGAGCCUUGAUGUGUAGGAUAGGUGGGAGGCUUUGAAGUGUGGACGCCAGUCUGCAUGGAGCCGACCUUGAAAUACCACCCUUUAAUGUUUGAUGUUCUAACGUGGACCCGUAAUCCGGGUUGCGGACAGUGUCUGGUGGGUAGUUUGACUGGGGCGGUCUCCUCCUAAAGAGUAACGGAGGAGCACGAAGGUUGGCUAAUCCUGGUCGGACAUCAGGAGGUUAGUGCAAUGGCAUAAGCCAGCUUGACUGCGAGCGUGACGGCGCGAGCAGGUGCGAAAGCAGGUCAUAGUGAUCCGGUGGUUCUGAAUGGAAGGGCCAUCGCUCAACGGAUAAAAGGUACUCCGGGGAUAACAGGCUGAUACCGCCCAAGAGUUCAUAUCGACGGCGGUGUUUGGCACCUCGAUGUCGGCUCAUCACAUCCUGGGGCUGAAGUAGGUCCCAAGGGUAUGGCUGUUCGCCAUUUAAAGUGGUACGCGAGCUGGGUUUAGAACGUCGUGAGACAGUUCGGUCCCUAUCUGCCGUGGGCGCUGGAGAACUGAGGGGGGCUGCUCCUAGUACGAGAGGACCGGAGUGGACGCAUCACUGGUGUUCGGGUUGUCAUGCCAAUGGCACUGCCCGGUAGCUAAAUGCGGAAGAGAUAAGUGCUGAAAGCAUCUAAGCACGAAACUUGCCCCGAGAUGAGUUCUCCCUGAGACUUUAAGUCUCCUGAAGGAACGUUGAAGACGACGACGUUGAUAGGCCGGGUGUGUAAGCGCAGCGAUGCGUUGAGCUAACCGGUACUAAUGAACCGUGAGGCUUAACCUU
This 1730-nucleotide ribosomal RNA is filed under the name Salmonella enterica. Its description in RNAcentral is "partial 23S ribosomal RNA". It matches the Rfam family "Bacterial large subunit ribosomal RNA", at positions 1218 to 2925 of the family's 2925-position model. The record is from RNAcentral. Lineage: Bacteria; Pseudomonadati; Pseudomonadota; Gammaproteobacteria; Enterobacterales; Enterobacteriaceae.